GCCCAAGUGGCGGAACGGUAGACGCAGGGGAUUCAAAAUCCCCCGCCGCAAGGCGUGUGGGUUCGAUUCCCACCUUGGGCACCA
RNAcentral lists this transfer RNA (84 nucleotides) under Roseivivax jejudonensis. RNAcentral describes it as "tRNA-Leu". It matches the Rfam family "tRNA". From Rfam's summary of the family: Transfer RNA (tRNA) molecules are approximately 80 nucleotides in length. Their secondary structure includes four short double-helical elements and three loops (D, anti-codon, and T loops). RNAcentral also lists the same sequence under 1 other name. The record is from RNAcentral. Lineage: Bacteria; Pseudomonadati; Pseudomonadota; Alphaproteobacteria; Rhodobacterales; Roseobacteraceae.